Molecule: ribosomal RNA, 1042 nt
Filed under: Escherichia coli
Lineage: Bacteria; Pseudomonadati; Pseudomonadota; Gammaproteobacteria; Enterobacterales; Enterobacteriaceae
Description: partial 23S ribosomal RNA
Rfam family: Bacterial large subunit ribosomal RNA
Source: RNAcentral
AGCCCAGAGCCUGAAUCAGUGUGUGUGUUAGUGGAAGCGUCUGGAAAGGCGCGCGAUACAGGGUGACAGCCCCGUACACAAAAAUGCACAUGCUGUGAGCUCGAUGAGUAGGGCGGGACACGUGGUAUCCUGUCUGAAUAUGGGGGGACCAUCCUCCAAGGCUAAAUACUCCUGACUGACCGAUAGUGAACCAGUACCGUGAGGGAAAGGCGAAAAGAACCCCGGCGAGGGGAGUGAAAAAGAACCUGAAACCGUGUACGUACAAGCAGUGGGAGCACGCUUAGGCGUGUGACUGCGUACCUUUUGUAUAAUGGGUCAGCGACUUAUAUUCUGUAGCAAGGUUAACCGAAUAGGGGAGCCGAAGGGAAACCGAGUCUUAACUGGGCGUUAAGUUGCAGGGUAUAGACCCGAAACCCGGUGAUCUAGCCAUGGGCAGGUUGAAGGUUGGGUAACACUAACUGGAGGACCGAACCGACUAAUGUUGAAAAAUUAGCGGAUGACUUGUGGCUGGGGGUGAAAGGCCAAUCAAACCGGGAGAUAGCUGGUUCUCCCCGAAAGCUAUUUAGGUAGCGCCUCGUGAAUUCAUCUCCGGGGGUAGAGCACUGUUUCGGCAAGGGGGUCAUCCCGACUUACCAACCCGAUGCAAACUGCGAAUACCGGAGAAUGUUAUCACGGGAGACACACGGCGGGUGCUAACGUCCGUCGUGAAGAGGGAAACAACCCAGACCGCCAGCUAAGGUCCCAAAGUCAUGGUUAAGUGGGAAACGAUGUGGGAAGGCCCAGACAGCCAGGAUGUUGGCUUAGAAGCAGCCAUCAUUUAAAGAAAGCGUAAUAGCUCACUGGUCGAGUCGGCCUGCGCGGAAGAUGUAACGGGGCUAAACCAUGCACCGAAGCUGCGGCAGCGACGCUUAUGCGUUGUUGGGUAGGGGAGCGUUCUGUAAGCCUGCGAAGGUGUGCUGUGAGGCAUGCUGGAGGUAUCAGAAGUGCGAAUGCUGACAUAAGUAACGAUAAAGCGGGUGAAAAGCCCGCUCGCCGGAAGACC